Molecule: ribosomal RNA, 458 nt
Filed under: uncultured bacterium
Lineage: Bacteria
Description: partial 16S ribosomal RNA
Rfam family: Bacterial small subunit ribosomal RNA
Source: RNAcentral
CCUACGGGUGGCAACAGUGGGGAAUAUUGCACAAUGGGGGAAACCCUGAUGCAGCGACGCCGCGUGAGUGAAGAAGUAUUUCGGUAUGUAACGCUCUAUCAGCAGGGAAGAAAUAGCGACCUUUGGGUCGUCCGACGGUACCUGAUUAAGAAGCCCCGGCUAACUACGUGCCAGCAGCGCCGGUAUUACGUAGGGGACAAGCGUUAUCCGGAUUUUCUGGGUGUAAAGGGAGCGUAGACGGAAGCGCAUGUCUGAAGUGCAAUGCCGGGGCUUAACCCCGGAACUGGUUUGGAAACUGUGCAGCUAGAGCGCAGGAGAGGCAGGUGGAAUUCCUAGUGUAGCGGUGAAAUGCGUAGAUAUUAGGAGGAACACCAGUGGCGAAGGCGGCUUACUGGACUGUAACUGACGUUGAGGCUCGAAAGCGUGGGGAGCAAACAGGAUUAGAUACCCCAGUAGUC